AAGACUAUAAUUUAGGGAUCAUUUCUGUAGUUUAUUACUAGGGAAAUUUCUCUGACUGUGCAGAGCAUCAGAAAACAUGAAGAGGAGGCAUAGUGUUCUCCCCUGAUGUAAAGUCAGCUCUCCAUGUUGCUUUGCUGCAACUGUCAUUCACCAUUGAAGAUCAUUCUUUCUCACCUUUGGGAGACUUAGAGGGAAAGAAUGAAGUCUGAAUG
Small nucleolar RNA from Jaculus jaculus (lesser Egyptian jerboa), 212 nucleotides. Its record names the gene U3. It matches the Rfam family "Small nucleolar RNA U3". From Rfam's summary of the family: Small nucleolar RNAs (snoRNAs) are involved in the processing and modification of rRNA in the nucleolus. There are two main classes of snoRNAs: the box C/D class, and the box H/ACA class. The record is from Ensembl. NCBI's taxonomy places the organism in Eukaryota, Metazoa, Chordata, Mammalia, Rodentia, Dipodidae.